UGCAAAUGAUGUUUCUCACGAUGGUCUUCCAAGCCUUGUGGUGGUGACGACACUGCCUAAUGGCAACAACUGAUGCAGUCAU
Oncorhynchus kisutch (coho salmon) is the source of this 82-nucleotide small nucleolar RNA. Lineage: Eukaryota; Metazoa; Chordata; Actinopteri; Salmoniformes; Salmonidae. The record is from Ensembl.